RNAcentral lists this ribosomal RNA (468 nucleotides) under uncultured bacterium. RNAcentral describes it as "partial 16S ribosomal RNA". It matches the Rfam family "Bacterial small subunit ribosomal RNA", at positions 28 to 507 of the family's 1533-position model. The record is from RNAcentral.
GACGAACGCUGGCGGCGUGCUUAACACAUGCAAGUCGAACGGAAAGGCCCUGCGUUUGCUGGUUGCUUGAUUGGCGAACGGGUGAGUAACACGUGUGUAACCUGCCCUUGUCUUUGGGAUAACUUUACGAAACUGGGUCUAAUACCGGAUAGGAUCUUCUGCUGCACGGUGGGCGUUGGAAAGAUUCGGCGGUUGUGGAUGGAUUCGCUGGUUAUCCGCUUGUUGGUGUGGUAGUUGCUUUCCAAGGCUUUGACGGGUAGCCGGCCUGAGAGGGUGACCGGCCACAUUGGGACUGAGAUACGGACCAGAAUCGUACGGGAGGCAGUAGUGGGGAGUAUGGCACAACGGGCGGACGCCAGAUGCAGCGACGCCGCGUGCGGGAUGACGGCUUUCGGGUUGUGAACCGAUUUCGCCUGUGACGAAGCGUGAGUGACGGUAAUGGGUAAAGAAGCACCGGCUAACUACGUG